GAUGAAGAACGUAGCGAAAUGCGAUACGUAAUGUGAAUUGCAGAAUUCAGUGAAUCAUCGAAUCUUUGAACGCAUAUUGCGCUCUUUGGUAUUCCGACGAGCAUGCUUGUUUGAGUAUCAGUAAACACCUCAACCUCCUCUUGAUUUUUCAAAAGGAGGGUGGACUUGAGCUAUCCCAACAACCUUUAUCGGUCGGCGGGCGGCUUGAAAUGCAGGUGCAGCUGGACUUUUAUCUGAGCUAAAAGCAUAUCUAUUUAGUCCUCGUCAAACAGGAUUAUUACUUUUGCUGCAGCUAACAUAAAGGAUAAUUGUCCUCUUUGCUGACUGAUGCAGGAUUUUACGACACUUUAUGUGUUGUUCAACUCGAUCUCAAAUCAAGUAAGACUACCCGCUGAACUUAAGCAUAUCAAUAAGCGGAGGA
This 421-nucleotide unclassified non-coding RNA is filed under the name soil metagenome. Its description in RNAcentral is "partial contains 5.8S ribosomal RNA, internal transcribed spacer 2, and large subunit ribosomal RNA". The stretch from base 1 to 120 matches the Rfam family "5.8S ribosomal RNA", at positions 35 to 154 of the family's 154-position model. The record is from RNAcentral.